UUUGGUGGUUAUACUGGUGGUGUCCCACCUGUUCCCAUUCCGAACACAGAAGUGAAAUCCACCAAGGCCGAUGAUAGUGGUUUUACCGCGAAAGUAGGUAGCCGCCAAUU
Molecule: ribosomal RNA, 110 nt
Filed under: Patescibacteria group bacterium
Lineage: Bacteria
Source: RNAcentral